AUUUCCACUGCUGCUCUCUCAUCUGCUGCUCUGAAGCCUAAACCAUGGUGCCCAGAAUCUUCGAUGCAACUCAUGAGAAGCUGGAGGACCUGGAGAAGCUGGCAACUCAAAAAGGCCAAAGGGUGCAGACAAUAAAAGCCCCAGACAAGCGUAUAGAACCACACGCCGUCUUUUUACUUGCCGACAGGUCCACUUGGGAGCCUACAUGUCCCAGGCUUCGUGUCAGACACCAGUGAUGCAGUGCUGAGUAGAAAACGCAAAGUCAGUGUCUUCGUGACGUUCAUGACAGUGAGAGGAGAGAGAGAGAGAGAGAAGAUUCAGCCCAGUUGCACCCAAGUAAAAUAAACAGUCUUGUUGCUCACACAAAGCCUGUUGGUGGACUCUCUUCAUAUGGACUCAUGUGACAUUUGGUGCCGAAGACCUGAGACAGGAGGACUCCUUUGGGAGACCGGUCCCCUGUCCUCGCCCUCUCUCCAUGAGAUCCACCCAUGACCUCGGGUCCUCAGCCCAGCCGAAGGAACUUCUCACCAAUUUUAAAUCGGGGACGCAAAGCCAACAAGAAUGAAGAAGUGGCCAGGUAUGGUGGCUCAUGCCUGUAAUCCCAGCACUUAGGGAGGCCGAGGAGGAAGAAUUGCUUGAGGCCAGGAAUCCCAGACCAGCCUGGACAACAUGGCAAAAUCCAGUCUUUACAAAAAAAAAAUUUUUUUAAUUGCUGGGCAUGGUGGCACACACCUGUGGUCCCAACUACUUGGGAGGCUGUGGCAGGAGGAUUGCUUGAGCUCAAGAGUUCCAGGCUGCAAUUAGCUAUGAUCAGACCACUGCACUCCAGCCUGGGCAACAGAGUGAGACCCUGAAAAACAAAAAAGAAGGGAGGAAGGGGGGAAAGAAAGGAAAAAGAAAGGAAGGAAGGAAGGAAGAGGUGUGGUUGCUCACACUUGUAUCCCAGCACUUUGGGAGGCCAAUGCAGGCAGGUCACUUAAGCUCAGGAGUUCAAGACAAGCCUGGGCAACAUGACAAAACCCCAUCUGUGAUGGGAGGAGGGCAGCCAGGGCCAGUCCAGGGCUCCUGUCCUGGCCAGGCACAGUGACUCACACCUUUAAUCCCAGGACUUUGGGAGGAUGAGGAGGGAGGAUCGUUUGAACCCAAGAGUUUAAGACCAGCCUGAACAACAUGCUGAAACCCCGUCUGUCCAAAAAAUACAAAAAUUAGCUGGGCACAGUGGUGCACACCUGUGGUCCCAGCUACUCUAAAGGCUGAGGUGUGAGGAUCGCUUGAGUCUGGGAGGUUGAGGCUGCAGUGAGCUGUGAUUGAGCCACUGCCCUCCAGUCUGAGCUGACACUGAAGACAGAGACACUGAGCAGGCCAGAGAUGGGGGAGAGACUGAACAGUGCAGAAAGGAGGACAGGAGAGCCAGGAGGAGAGGCCAGCAAUGUUGAGAGAGUGAGGUUGUGAGAGGAAAAUAAAAACGAAGGGAGGAAGAAAUACAACUGUAGGGAAAGGGGGAGGUGGAUUGACUAGAGGCAGGAGGACAGACACAGAGAAUGGGGGCUCUACUCAGGGCAGAACAGGCAUGCAGCCCCCCAGGACCCACAAUCUCAUGGAGGAGACAGGACCUCACCUGUGACAAAGCCUGUUAUCUGAGGUCAGGGUCAAGGAGCACUUCUGGCCUUUCAUCUUCACCAUGAGGGACGCUGGGGGACUGAGGGACCAGGGGCAGCACUUCUCGAAGCAGACUCUGAAGGUGCAGUUCCACCCCUCUGGGUCCCAUCCGAGGGCAGGAUGGCAUUGUCAUAGUAGCAGUGCUGCAGAGGGUCACAGAACGUGUCCCCACAUCUUGCCUGUGGCUGGCACAGCAUCAGAUAAGCACCCAUGGGGGCCACUGGAGGAGACAGAGCUGGUGAGGUCCAGGUGGAAGGGCAGGUGGGUCCCAGCCUGGGAUCUCCUGGGAGCCACACCCCUCCCCCAGAUUCCCAGCCCUUCCUGGGCUCACCUGGGGGCUCCACAUGAUCAGAGAAGGCUGAGGAUGCAGAGAGACGCCAAGACAGCUGUGGGAGAAGGAAGAAGAGGAGGGCUCUGGAGGAGGCCACGAGCCAUCUUUGGGACCCCAGCCUGCGGCAGCACUGGGUCCAAGGGGGUCUCUGUCCUGACUGGAGCUCGAGGAAGGGCUAGAAGGUGAUCUGAGGUCAGGCACAGUCUCCCUGUGCUCAAGGGUCCUGGGCAAGGCCAGGGAGUGCAGGCAGGACUCUCAGAAGAAAUGGGCCUAGGGUUCAGGGCAAUGUGGUUGUUUCCUGGUGUUGGAGGAGUUCAGAGCUGGAGGCUCAGCUGGGGUCGGGCAGGGAAGGGGCUGAGCCGAGACUAGCGUUGUGCUAUGGGUGUGGCUGGCACUGACAUUUAGAAAAAGACUGGGUGGGACUGGAACCAGGGCUAGGCAUAAGUUUGGGGAGUAGUUUGGGGACUGAAACAGCUGUGGAUGGGGCUGACCCAGGGGCUGUGGAUGGGGAAUUGCUGUGAUGGAGCCAUGUCUGAGGAGGAGGCCAGGCAUGGGGACAGGGAUGAGGUGUAGUUUGGGGUGGGGAGUGAGCCUCGGUGGUGGCUGAGAUGGGAGAUGGGCUCGGGUGGGAAUGGGGUCCUGUCCUCCUUACCCAAGAUGUGGCCUCGGGAGCCAUGGCUCUGGGGUGGCUGGAGGGGAGUGAGUGGGUGAUCAGCAGGUCUCAGCAGCUCCUUGGCUCCUAUACUCCUAGAGGAGCUGGUGAUAUCGUGGGAUGCCCUGCCUUCCUGCAGAGACAUGCUGGGCCCUGGAGCGAGACAGGUCCCAGACAGGGUAUGUGUCAUGGUGGAUUUGAUGCCAGGUCCUUUGAGAGCCAGGAGAGGACCGAUGCUCCCUCCACCCUCGGUCCCUCUCUCCUCCAGAAUGGAGGCUUCUUUGGCAAAUAGGAAAUUGCAGGACACUCCUGGGGUCGUCCUCACCCUCCCACACUCACACAGCCACAAUGUUACAGCUGACCCUGUGAGUCUAGAGUCGAGACACGGACUGAGGGUUGCUCCAUGACCUGGUCCCCUUCUAGAUGUGAAUCAGUGCAAGGGCCCAGGACAGCGGAAGAGGUGUGAAGCCAUCCUGUGAUCGGGAAGCCACAGGGUGUCCAGACCCAGCGGGAGCCGAGGAUUCAGGAGAAUCUCCCCAGUCAGCUCCAGAGGUGCCCACAGUGUGAGCUCUAGUGUCUCCCAGGUAGGGGCCAAAGCGUCACCUGCCCGGCCCUGGGGGUGCAAGUGGAGUGGAUUUUACUCCUGUCCAGAAAAUGGAGUGAGACCCUGUCUCUAAAUAAAUACAUACAUUUAGACUCCUCUGUCUUUGCGUGUAUAUAAGCAAAGACAGAGGUGUUUUUAUCAGGAUUACAACAUUUUUCAUAAAAGGUUGGCACAUCAUUACAGCAAGUUGCUUAUAGGCAAUGUUUCUCUAUGAGAAGGGCACAUUUAACAUUUUUUACAAAGGGUGUAAUAGUCAUGGUUUUUCUGUUAUCUGAUCUAAGCAAGGCAGGACAACAAAGGGGAACUUAAUUGAUAACAAGGGUCAUUAAUUAACAGGGCACCACUGGGUGGACACAGUGGCAUCUGUAAUUCCAACACUUGGGGAGGCCGAGGUGAGAGGAUCGCUUGAGGUCAAGAGUUUGAGACCAGCCUGGGUAACAUGGCAAAACUCUGUCUCUACCAAAAAAUACAAAAAUUAACUUGGCAUGGUGGCACAUACCUGCAGUCCCAGCUACUUGGGAGGGUGAGGUGGGAGGAUAACUUGAACCCGGGAGGUGGAGGUUGUAGUCAGCUGAGAUCAUGCCACUGCACUCCAGCCUCUGGAACAGAGAGAGACUCAGUAUCAAAAAAAAAAAAAAGUCUUGGUCAGAUGCAGUGGCUCAUCCCUGUAAUCCCAACCCCUUUGGAGGCCAAAGCAGGAGGAUCACUUGAGGCCAGGAGUUGGAAACCAGCUUGGCCAAAAUAGCAAGACCCUGUCUCAAAACAAAAAACACUACCAAAAAAAAAAAAAAAAAAAAAAAAAAAAUAUAUAUAUAUAUAUAUAUAUAAAAUGAGGAAGCCUGGGUCUUGUUCUGUCACCCAGGCUGGAGUGCAGUGGCACAAUCUCAGCUCACUGCAAUCUCUGCUUCCCGGGGUUCAAGUGAUUCUCCUGCCUCAGCCUUCCUAGUAGCUGGGAUUGCAGGUGCCCGUGACCACGUCUGGCUGAUUUUUGCAUUUUUAGUAGAGAUGGGGCUUCACCAUAUUGUCCAGGCUGGUCUUGAAUUCCUGAUCUCAAGUGACCCACCUCCCCCGGCCUCCCAAAGUGCUGGGAUUACAGGCGUGAGCCACCGUGUCCGGCCCUUGAUUGGUUUUUGCUUGCAUUGUCCCUGGUGAAGCCAUUGAAAAGCUUUACUGCUUUCUGCAGCAGAAUGGGAUCAGACCCAAUGAGUGAUGAAAGUUAAAAUAAACAAAGUCAGAAGACUCUAAACCCAAGCGCUUGUGCCAGAGGCAGCCUCUGGGUGCCUGGCUGAUACCACAGGAGGUUUCUAACAAAGAGAUUGACAGCCUUUCCACAUCUGAUAUCUGGUACCAGGCAGAGAGAGGCCCUUGCAGACCGUGGAGUCAACGCCUCACUGGGUAUUUUGGAUAUUAAAGACAACAUAGACUCCAUCUGGGCAUUCUGGUGGUCCCCCUGCACCAGAUAACCAGAGACAUAGCUGCUUUCCAGGGACCCCCAGUGGGGGUCCAGGGAGUACAAUGCACUCCAGGCCCUACCUCAGGCAGUUACUCAGGCCCCUGUGUCCCGUAGAGCCCAGCUCCCCAUUUGAAUGACAAGUUUCAGUGCUAGGAGAUGAGGAAGACUGGAAUCUGACCAAAAGGAAAAGCCAUCAGAGUCUGAUGACCGCAAAGUUUCUGGACUUCUAGGCUCCCAGAAAUGGCCACUCAUCAUGCACCUUUUCUGAAGGAGCUAUUAACAUGUUGUUGGGCUCUGGUGGAAACAGAGAGGCUGAGCCAACACACUGUGGUAAUACUCUGACCAGAAAUACCCAUCUCUUCCUGAACUGAUAGCAGCCUAGACCCGAGAGCGGUGUCUGCUGGACAGAGCAGCAUCAUUACAUCGAAGGGAGACAUCCAAGAUAGAAUAAAAUAGAACAGUUACAAUAUAUUGUAACAGUUACCACAUAGUGCAGCUGUAAGUUUUGCAGUUUGAGGUAGGACACAAAGCUAGUGCAAAUUUCUGUUUCUUCCUGCUCAAUUUCAGGUACAGCAGAUUCAUUCUUACCAUAGAUCUUAGCAACCUCAGCCCAUUUUUUUUUCUUUCCUUAUUAAGUGGAGAAUUUUCAUCUUUUUACUGAAAGGAAGCACUUUACAGUUUCUGUUUGGCAUAUCUGAAUUGCCAGCAUCACUACUCUUGCAGUUUGGGGCCAUUACAAAGUAAAAUAAAGGUUUUAUUUUACGAUAAAGAAAGCCCUCUUGAGAAACUUUCACAAACACUGCAAUAGCAUGACAGUUGAUCUGAUAACUGAGACAGCUACUGGAGACUACUGAGCCGGUAGCAUCUACAGUGUCAAUAUGCUGCACGAAGGAUGACUCACCAGCGGGGCAGGACAGAGCGGGACGACACGGCAUUUCACAAUCAGUGUGACACGCAACUUUAAAAUUUAUGAACUGUUUUUUCUUUGUUUUGUGUUUUGUUUUUGUUCUUUUGAGACAGAGUCUUGCUCUGUCCCCCAGGCUGGAGUGCAGUGACACGAUCUUGGCUCACUGCAACUUCCACCUCUCGGGUUCAAGUGAUUCUCCUGCCUCAGCCUCCCAAGUAGCUGGGAUCACAGACACAUGCCACAGCACCCGGCUAAUUUUUGUAAUUUUUUAGUAGAGAUAGGAUUUCACCAUGUUUUCCAGGCUGGUCUCGAACUCCUGACCUCAAGUGAUCCACCCACCUUGGCCUCCCAAAGUACUGGGAUUACAGGCAUGAGCCACCAUGCCUGGCCUCUGAUAUUUUCAUUUAAUAUUUUCAGAUCACAGUUGAUCAUGGGUAACUGAAACCUACGCCAAAGUGAAAGUGGAGAUAAGAGGGAAUUACUAUACCACAAUAAUACUCAGCCACUAGAAAGGCUGGGAUGACUCCAUGCUUUGUUCUUCAAAAAUACUUCAAAUAAUUCUAUUUAAAAAGCAAAAGAGACCGGGUGCAGUGGCUCACACCUGUAAUCCCAGAACUUUGGGAGGCCGAGGUGGGUGGAUCACAAGAUCAGGAGUUCGAGACUAGCCUGGUCAACAUGGUGAAACCCCUGUCUCUACUAAAAAUACAAAAGUUAGCCCGGCAUGGUGGUGGGCACCUGUAGUCCCAGCUACUUGGGAGGCUGAGGCAGGAGAAUUGCUUGAACCCAGGAGGUGGAGGUUGCAGUGAGCUGAGAUCAUGCCACUGCACUCCAGCCUGGGUGACAGAGCGAGACUCCAUUUCAAAAAAAAAAAAAAGCAAAAGAAUGAGGCAUUUAUGUAAAGUUAUAACAAACAAAAUAUUUUCAGAAAAGCAAUUCCACAAUGUUUAAUGUAAUUUGAGCAUCGAGCAUUCUUCAUAACUCUUUACAAUUAUUGAUUCAUCUUGUCUGGGUUUCAUCAUCAUUUUACAAAUGAGGAAACUGAAACACAGAGUGGCUUCAUAACUCACCCACAGUCACAGUCAGUGGGGCAAGGUCAGGGUUUGACCUGGGAGCGCUAGCCACAGGGCACCUGCACCCCAGCCCCUGCUGCCCACUGUUGUGUCCCUGUGGGUGUGCUCUUCUAGGCACGUUUGGAACCCUGAGUUCUCACCAGAGAGGACAGUGAAUCACUCCAAGGAGAAAGACAAGGGCUUAGAGUGGAAAAGGAGCUUUGGUUUUCACUUUAUUGCUGUGCUGAUGAAGUUUUAAAAGAACACCUCUCACAUGUAUAAAAUAAUGGAAAACAAGCUAUGCCAAGAAGAAAAGUAUGAAUCAAAAAUUCAAUGAUUACAAAUAAAAUAGUAAAUAAGAUUACAAAAGAAAAUCAGAUACUUUUAGUCAAACUAUGUAAAAAUCCCAUAUUUUACAAAAAGAGUAAUCAAAUGAUGGGGGGAGAAGAGAGCUAAUAUUUAAUGAAAUUAUGGUGGUCACUGUGAGACAAAGUAACAAACAUGAGAAGCCGGUUUGCUCAUUUCUGCUUCCCAGCAUAAUUUCACAAGGCCCCUGAGUCUGUGAUGACCUGCGGCUCUCCAAAAACAUGCUUUCUUUUGGAGAAAAAAAGGAGAGAGAAAAGGGCCCUCAUGUCUCUUGCCCUCCCUGUUCCUUGCAGGUGGUGAGAUUGAGAACUCAAUCCAAAGUAUGACAUAAAGACACACCUCAGAGCUCAGAGCUUUCUUUCCCAGGAUGCACCUAUCCACUCUGGCAACGUUUACUUGUUCCCACCACCACCUAGUCCUGUCCACCUUCCUUCAUCCUCAUCCUCACUUCCUGAUCUUCUCUUUAGCCCAGCUCAGGUUGAGGCCAAACUUGAAUCUGACCCUCACCCCGCCCUGGGAGGGAAAAUUCAGUGAGGAAUAGCAUUCCUUCCAGUGAGGCAUACCCUGGAGUCUACAUCGGCCUCCCAACCCCAAAUCAGUCUCUUUUCUCCUCUCCCUCCCAUUAUGGCCCUGCGUCUUCCCUUUCUGGGCUGAGUUUUGUAGUAUCUGUUUUCUGUGGGCUCUUGAAAUUAUACUAGAAGUAUGAUUUUUCCUUUAUUAAUUCUAUAUUUAAUAACUUUUUUGUUAAAUUUAGAAAGGAAGGUGAGAUAUCUCUAACAUAUCUAGAAUGAAGUCUUUCUUGACAUGCCUCAGAAAAACAUACCUGCUUCUCCCCCACUUUGAGGUCCAGUCCAUUGAGAAAUGCUGGCAUUGUGGGGAUGGUGCAUACUGAGGGGCCUGAGGGGAGAUGGAGCUUGGACUGGAGGCUCAAUCAUUCCUGGUGUUCCUAGCACCACAGAUGACUCAGCGGGACUCCCGAAUAGUCAACCCUUCUUCUGAGGGCGAGGGCCAGAGUCUCAGGGAUUGUCUUUUCUGAAUUUUUCUUUUUGAUGGUAAAAAGAUCCAGGUCCGUGAUUUUGCAGAAUACCCUAAAGCCACAUGCAUUUUUGGUCUCUUCAAAGUCAACCCCCACCCCCCAUGGGGGAAGGAAUGAUGCAAGGCUCUUUGCCCCACAGGAGAGGGUUGGGGGAUUACCAGGGGGCGUGAUAAAUAUCCUCAGCCUUGGCAAAGAGGGCUGGGAGGGUCUGUGGUAGGCUGCAGAUACAGUCCUGAUUAUCUCUCCUUCCUCAUUCACACACUUGCAAAAUAUGACUUUACGUCUAUUAAGAUUUGGUAUCCAUGUCCCCAUUCCCUUGACUGUCUGCACCCUGUGGAAUUUGUGGUCUAUAGGACACUGUGGAGUGAUCGAUCAUGUGCCAGUUUUGAGUUAAGACUUUGCUCAAGGACUCUGGUACUUCCACUUUCUCAGGAAAUUAAAGCAAUGUGAACACCCUCUGGCCAGCCUGUUGGAGGGUGAGAGACCACAUGGAGGAGACAGAGCCCUGAUGUCCCAGCUGAGGACAUCCCAGAAAAGCCUAUUUCCAGACAACUGAGGACAGGUGAAUGAGUUCUUUGUAGAUGAACCAGAAUCCAGUCUAUCUACCUGCUGAGCACAGACAUGUGAGCAACCCCCCCAUCAAGGUCAACUGAGCCUGGCCCAGAUCAACAGAAUCACGAGAUGACCUAUGGACUCAGGAGCAAUCAUGAUGUGGUUGUUCCAUGACACUGAAUGUAGAGGUCGUUGAUUCUGCAGCACCAGCAAACUGACACAUAACACCGUGUUUAAUAUUGGGUUCUGGGCUUUGGGGUCCCUGCAGAGUUCCUGAUUUCAGCCCCAAGGGCUCAUUCACAAAUUUAUUACUCAGAUUCUACCCUGUCAACCCAGGACGUGUUACUUACACAUUUCCCAGUGUGGGCAGCAAGCCACCCAGGUGCCGAGGCAAGAGACCGAGGGCACAAGCUGUUCCAGUAUAAUAAAGAAAACAUAUAAAAUAAGAAUAGUUAUACUAGAUAUAGAUCGUAGAUAUGAUUAUAUAUGAAUAUUACUAAUCAUUAGUCUGUAGCAAUUACUCUUUAUUCCAUUAUAAUAAUAAUCUUCUCUCUACAAUUAUAACUUAAGAGAAACCAGGCCAUACAGAGAUAGGAGCUGAACGGACACAGUGAGAAAUGACCAGAAGACAAGAGUGUGAGCCUUCUAUUAUGCCCCGACAGGGCCACUAGAGGGCUCCUUAGUCUAGCGUUAAUGCCAGUGCCCGGGAAGAUGCCCGUUACCUAGCCGACUUUGGUCUAGCGGUAGCGUCAGUGCCCAGGAAAAGCACCCACUACUUAGCAGACUGGGAAAAGGAGUGUCCCUUUCCCCGGGGGAGUUAGAGAAGACUCUGCUCCACCACCUCUUGUGGAGGGCCUGACAUCCGUCAGGCCUGCCCGCAGUUAUCCAGAGGCCUGUCUCCCUGUGAUGCUGUGCUUCAGAGCAGUCACGCUCCUGGUCCGCUUACAUGUUCCAUCCUGUACACCUGGCUCUGCCUUCUAGGUAGUAGCAGAAUUAGUGAAAGUACUAAAAGUCUCUGAAAUGCAAAAAUAAAGGCAUAAGCUGUCUCCUUUCUCUCCACCUCAGCUGCCAAACAGGGAAGGGCCGCCUGUCCAGUGGAUACAUGACCCACAUGACCUUACCUAUCAUUGGAGAUGGCUCACACUGCUCACCCUGCCCCCUUGUCUUGUAUCCAAUAAAUAACAGCGCAGCCUGGCAUUCGGGGCCACUACUGGUCACUGUGUCUUGGUGGUAGUGGUUCCCCGGGCCCAGCUGUUUUUUCUUUUAUCUCUUGGUCUUGUGUCUUUAUUUCUAUGAUCUCUCGUCUCCGCACAUGGGGAGAAAAACCCACAGACCCUGUAGGGCUGGUCCCUACAUCCCAGGACUCUCUAUCCCACUGUGGAAGACUUCGCAGUUGCCUGCCAUGCUCCCACAAAGAGCUGGCCACCUGCCCCAGGAUGAAUGGGGGCUCUGUCCGAGUUGCUAAAGGUGUGCCUCUGGCCAUAUGCUGGGAGGCAAAUGAGCUGUCAGGCAAGGGUAGGAAAUAUGUGGGCAUCAGAGGACAAACAAGGAGUGAGGUGCCUCCCACCAGCCAUACAUCUGAAGUGCUGUCAGAUGGCCAUAGGGGCCAGCUGGGUAUGGGUCCCCAACAACCAGGAAGGACACUGAGCAUCUGAAAACCAUUGGUCAUGGAACACAGAACCCACGGGGAACACUAUGGGUUCACAAAGACCCAGGAGGUCUAUUGUAAGCCUCAGUAUAGAGAGAGGAACACACUGAGCUUCUGAUCACCCAUUAUCAAGGCUGUGCUGCUUUAUGUUGAUAGUCCAAAAUUAUCCUGCAUGGGAGUUGGUCCACACAAAUUAUAAUCACAAAGGCAAUAUAGAGGAGAGUGGGGGGGGCGGUCACAGGAAUGAGCGUCACGGUGGCUGGGGAUGGACCUUUCACUUAGCUGAUCAUGUGCAAACAGCAAGAUUCAUGAUGAACUGCUCCACCACAAAACAAAUAAAUGGGUGUCUACAGUACACACACUGGGCCCCCCACUAACCCUGAC
RNAcentral lists this long non-coding RNA (10641 nucleotides) under Homo sapiens (human). RNAcentral describes it as "HSALNT0398270". The record is from RNAcentral. Lineage: Eukaryota; Metazoa; Chordata; Mammalia; Primates; Hominidae.